ACAGGGGGAUAACGCAUCGAAAGGUGCACUAAUACCGCAUGAGACCACGCUCCCGACAUGAGAGAGGGGUCAAAGGAGCAAUCCGGUGAGAGAUGGGCUCGCGUCUGAUUAGCUGGUUGGUGAGGUAACGGCCCACCAAGGCGACGAUCAGUAGCCGACCUGAGAGGGUGAUCGGCCACAUUGGAACUGAGAUACGGCCCAAACUCCUACGGGAGGCAGCAGUGGGGAAUAUUGGGCAAUGGGGGAAACCCUGACCCAGCAACGCCGCGUGAAGGAAGAAGGUUUUCGGAUCGUAAACUUCUAUCCUUGGUGAAAAUAGUGAUGGUAGCCAAGAAGGAAGCCCCGGCUAACUACGUGCCAGCAGCCGCGGUAAUACGUAGGGGGCAAGCGUUGUCCGGAAUAAUUGGGCGUAAAGGGCGCGUAGGCGGCUCGGUAAGUCUGGAGUGAAAGUCCUGCUUUUAAGGUGGGAAUUGCUUUGGAUACUGUCGGGCUUGAGUGCAGGAGAGGUUAGUGGAAUUCCCAGUGUAGCGGUGAAAUGCGUAGAGAUUGGGAGGAACACCAGUGGCGAAGGCGGCUUACUGGACUGUUACUGACGCUGAGGCGCGAAAGUGUGGGGAGCAAACAGGAUUAGAUACCCUGGUAGUCCACACUGUAAACGAUGAAUGCUAGGUGUAGGGGGUAUCGACCCCUUCUGUGCCGCAGUUAACACAAUAAGCAUUCCGCCUGGGGAGUACGGCCGCAAGGUUGAAACUCAAAGGAAUUGACGGGGGCCCGCACAAGCAGCGGAGCAUGUGGUUUAAUUCGAC
This 806-nucleotide ribosomal RNA is filed under the name human gut metagenome. RNAcentral's name for it is "bacterial SSU rRNA". It matches the Rfam family "Bacterial small subunit ribosomal RNA", at positions 135 to 955 of the family's 1533-position model. The record is from RNAcentral.